GAUGGUUCUCAGGUGACACACCCCAGAAUCAGGCUCCCUCCUCUCUGGUUCUGGUUGUGUCACCUGAGUACUGCA
This is a non-coding RNA of Myotis brandtii (Brandt's bat), 75 nucleotides long. The record is from Rfam. NCBI's taxonomy places the organism in Eukaryota, Metazoa, Chordata, Mammalia, Chiroptera, Vespertilionidae.